AAAAAAAACGGAUGUUUUUUUUCUCAUUUUAAGCAAAAUAUCAAGAACUUGUUGGAACAUUUCUUGUUUGUAUACUUUGUAUACACUUCCUUCUAUCUACAUGUUACAUAAUGAACAGCGAUUCCGUAAUGGAAUUCCGGAUAUAGUUUUUCUGGUGGUUCUAUAUUCAACGUAAAAACAUUUUGACCAGAACCGGCUUUGAAAUAUGUAUGUACAUGUCCGGCAGGAAAUUCAUGUAGAAAACGAGACCACUCCAUUGAGAGACCUUUCGAAGCGUUGCUUUUUUGGCCCGAUUUUUGGAAUGUUCCAUCCAUUUUUAAUUUUCUGUUUCCACACAGCCUAGUUUACGGUUCUCACCCACAAAAUUCGCGAAAAAAUUAUUUUCGACGGAACGCGAUUUCUUAAGAUUUUACAUGGUCUGCCAUGGUUCUCUUGUAAUAGAACUUCAAAAUUACGUGGACCUAUAAUUGCUUGGAUGACAAAAGGUUUCAUCACAUGACGGAUAACCAAUCCCAAUUUUGUCGAUCCUGUGUCUAAAGCCAAUACCCAAAAAUUAAAGCGUUUGUGGCGGGAUAUGAGAUCUACUUUUCCGCAUUAUGGAAGGAAAAGGGAGGAUUUUGAAGGCUACCUGGCGCGUUUCUCCUUCCUGAAGAAAUCAAUUUAUACAAUCCAAGGAUAAAGUUAUUUUAUAUAUGUUAAAAAAAAUAAAAUAAAAAUAGUCCCAAACAAAUUAGGCAUAAAUUUAAAAAAAGA
Molecule: long non-coding RNA, 753 nt
Organism: Drosophila biarmipes
Lineage: Eukaryota; Metazoa; Arthropoda; Insecta; Diptera; Drosophilidae
Exons: 2
Source: RefSeq, a predicted model, not a curated record